GAAAACCACAUUACAACUCACAUUUUUACAGGUACUUAUUUGGCGGCAAUUAGCAGGCUCCCCUCAUAAAUGGUACGGUCCCAUCUUAACUUCCCAAACAAAAAUGGCACAUGAGUGUUCGUGAGGUGUGUUGAUAACGAAAACGAAACAACGACGUGUGGCCGACACUGCAAACUGGAAAGCCGUAGCAGCACGACCCGUUAGUUUUCUCAGACAUGGCACUGCAAGUAUCAGCUCGAGUUUCCCGUAUCGGGGCUCUCCCGUACUACACCGGCGGCCCUCUGUCCCGUGUCAGUGCUGACACUCAGAGUGUCGGUGUCAAGUUCAAACAUAUUUUAACUCCUGGAAGCCCCCAGCUGGGAAGGAGGCCAGCAACAAGUGCUCCCCGCAGCCAUAUUAACGCUGUCCGCCGAACUGACAAGUUCUCAACGACAACACCACUUUGGCGGUCCAGCCGAGGCACCCAUUCCUCCUUACCCCAGGUGAACAGAGGCUGGCUGGGCAAGUUUGCCCUCGGUACCGCCUUUGGAGUGAGCACAGCCGUGCUGGUCCAGUCUCUCCACACCGGAGCUUUCACCGCCAUGGCCCUCAAAAUUAACCUCGACUCUGAUAAGGAAGACUGGAAGAAAACCAAGGACUACCUGCUGUCUCUGAGCGUGGAGGACAGGCGUCAGUACUACUGGACAACUGACUACAAGCCACUGGAUGAGAUCUCAGUGUGGACUCCCACUGCAGGUGGUUCGCAGCCAACUGACUACAAGAGGAAUGAAAAAUUGGACCAGAAGAUUUCCCUUUAUAACGGCGACAUCACCAAGCUUGAGAUAGACGCUAUAGUCAAUGCAGCCAACAACACUCUGCUCGGUGGAGGUGGAGUGGACGGAGCGAUCCACCGCGCUGCUGGUCCCAUGCUAAAAAAGGAGUGUGCUUCGCUCAACGGCUGUAAGACAGGAGAGGCCAAGAUUACCUGCGGCUACCGCCUUCCUGCAAAGUAUGUGAUUCACACAGUGGGGCCGAUUGCACAAGGCGGAGUUGGAGAGGAGGAGAAGAACGCGCUAAGAUCGUGCUACAGAAACAGCCUCGAGACGGCGACCGAAAAUGGUGCUCGUUCUGUGGCUUUCCCUUGCAUCUCAACUGGAAUCUACGGAUAUCCAUCUGAGCGGGCUGUGCACGAGGCGUUAAAAACUGUGAGGGACUACCUCGAUGCACAUCAUGACAAGUCAGCUGGACAGAGUCAUCUUCUGCGUGUUCUUGCCGAAGGAUCAGAAGCUGUAUGAGGAGAACCUGCCACUCUACUUUCCUGCUGCCUGACCUGUGGCAGCGACCCGUUGUUCAGAGGCCACAGUCAAGAGCAAACUCUAAGAGAGUGGAUUUGUCAGAUUUGGUUGCCGUGGAUACACACCGCUACACUCACAUCCAGAUUCUUUCUCCUCCUCCUCCUCCUCCUGUUUGCCAUUGACGCAGAUCAAGACCAUCUUCAUCAGGAAGAUAAGUUGCAAAUGGGUGAUUGCCUUUUUGAAGUGCUACGGUUCUCCUGCAGAUGUUGUCGGAGGAGGUGGUUUUCUUUUUCUCACUUCUUCCCACUAAUGGCUGAGGUUAGGAGCGGUGUUAUGAUGACUGUGUGAAAUGAGGCAGAUAAUUCUUAUGAAAAAUGGACUGCGCGUACUCGUAAGCUUCACUCUACCUGUGAUCAGCGGCAGCUUCGCAUCAGG
This is an RNA transcript of Pundamilia nyererei, 1709 nucleotides long. It is a transcript of the gene named mono-ADP ribosylhydrolase 1, with no coding region annotated. Lineage: Eukaryota; Metazoa; Chordata; Actinopteri; Cichliformes; Cichlidae. The record is from RefSeq and is a predicted model, not a curated record. The transcript has 11 exons.